Molecule: ribosomal RNA, 253 nt
Filed under: uncultured bacterium
Lineage: Bacteria
Description: partial 16S ribosomal RNA
Rfam family: Bacterial small subunit ribosomal RNA
Source: RNAcentral
UACGUAGGGGGCAAGCGUUGUCCGGAUUUAUUGGGCGUAAAGAGCGUGUAGGCGGCUAUACAGGUCCGUUGUGAAAACUCGAGGCUCAACCUCGAGACGCCGAUGGAAACCGUAUGGCUAGAGUCCGGAAGAGGAGAGCGGAAUUCCUGGUGUAGCGGUAAAAUGCGCAGAUAUCAGGAAGAACACCCGUGGCGAAGGCGGCUCUCUGGGACGGUACUGACGCUGAGACGCGAAAGCCAGGGGAGCAAACGGG